CCGAGUAAUACAUAUUAAAUAGGCAUAUCUAAUUGAGGAUCCUAUCAAUUAACUACAACAAGAAUGUAGUUGAACAAAUAGAGAUUAAACAGGGCAAACUAUAUUAAAACAACAAGAAGUUCAUCCCUCAACAGGUUCCAUCAAAACCUUAGACUAAAUAAUUAGCUACUCAUAAUCGUAUUCAUAAUAACAACAACAAAAUUCAUCAUGAAUGAUAAAUAUAAAAGGAAGAAAGGUAGAACUCAAUGUUGAAUUAUCCACCUUGCCUCUUCUUGCCUUCAAUAAAGCUAUAAAAACCUUGAUAAUCUCUUUUUGGGUGAGCUGGACCUCUUAUAGGUUAAGUGGAAUUGCCCCCAAACUUCCAAGUUUACCCCUGAAAUUUCUACGUUCCAGAUUGACUAGCGCGGUCGCGCUCGAACCGCGCUAGUGGCCGCGCAUAUCGCAUAGUAUACUAUCCCGUUUUCCUGCUUUAGCACGGUCACGUUAAGGCCGCCCUUGGCCCGCGCUAGAGUGAAUAAGCAUUUUCUCUCUUCUUUUCUUUCUUCUUUCACACGUACUCAGCUCCAAGGGGUUUCCCUUGCUUUAAUUUAGCUCCAAACACUGUCCUAAGUCCUCAUAAGCACAACUUGCUCCUGCAAAAUAUGAAAUUCACAAUUAGAGCCAUUUUAUCGUCAUUUAACCUUCCUAGAAUAGUGAAGCAUAGUCAAAUUGGGGCAUAAAUAGUUGCCAAACUACAUGAAUCUAGACUAUUAUCAACACCCUACACUUAAAUCAUUGCUAGUCCCCGAGCAAUCUACCAUACUCUAUAAAGGUUCCUUCACUGAGCUUUUCCCUAACGUAUCACACCAAGAACAAAUCACCGAAGUUACGUCUAGUAGUGUAACAUCUUUGCCUCAAGAGUCGAUUAUCACGUGCUGUGCAAUAUUCAUACUUACUCAAAUUACUCUAUAGAGAGGUCAAGACUUACCUUUACUUCGUGAAUCAAAUGCCCUCACAUCACACAAGAGAGUAUUUCCACAAAUAAUAAUAUUAAGAACAAUUAGGAACUUAGAUAGAGAAAAGUCGCUCACUCUCAGAAAGAAAAUUCAUAUGCCACACAGAUGCACCAUAGGCUUGCCCUUAGUGUACUACUCUACUAAUAAAGCUCAUUCAGUCUAAGAUCAAUUAGGACUUUAUUUGGUUGUAAUGUAGGCUAAGGGACGGGUAGGAUAUAUUUGGAUAUCGUGACAAACCUCCCUAAAUACUUUUAAUACAAUCACCUUCGCAUUCAGAACCAUACUUAUGACAGACCAGACAUUCCGCCACACUUCUAUUUAUAAUACCCCAAACUCCAUUAGGUGCAAUUGUAUCAAGUCACCACUUAUCAAGGACUACAUUUACUUAUUUCUUUUCUCUCUUUUUUUUCUCUUUUAAGUGGCUCUUAUUCUUUUAUUUUUCAAAAUACUGUACCUUUUUCUCUAUUUCAUUAGUUCCACUCAAAAACCAAACCACCACCCUACACUUUAACUUUUGCAUAUUUCAUAACAAUUCAAGUGCUCAUGGGAGGUAAAGUGGUUCAAACAGAUAGGUCGUUCAAACAAUUGGGUAAGGUUUGUAAUGUGGUUGCCAAAGAAAUAGGCUUAUAGGCUCAAUGGGGUUAAGUACGAUGUAUCGCAUUUAGGUGGGUCUACUUUAUAUAUCUAGCUUAACAAAGAAAUGCCUAUAUCAUUUCUAAGGCUGAAUAAAGCUAUUAUUUCGCUUUGCAAACACAUGAGGCAAGUUCUAGGCAUCAAAUGCAGAGCAUAGAAUACAAUACAACUCGCACACACAUGGCACAUGACUCACUCUGGAUUGGCUUAUCAAGACACUCUCGCUUGAGUACUCAAGUUAGUGACAAACAUACAAUUUAAGGCACUCUAACAAGAAUUAACCACUGAGACUAAGUGUCACACUCUAGUGUCUACUGUGUUCAGGUGUAUCAACGCUAAGGGCUUCUCUUCCUAUUUCAGCUCAUCGCCUAUAAGUACAAACUAAAAACUAGAAACAAAAUAAAUAAAAACUAACUACACUCGGUUUAAGAAAAACCCUUGGAAAAGAACCGCGGCCCAAAGAAAAACCAAGGGGGUUACUACACUACCUAAAACAAAAAAAAUCUUUUUGGUAUUUUCUUUAGACUUACUUUCCUCAAGAAAACUGUCUAGACGAUCCGUCAUCAGGAAGAGUCCACAUAUUUCUAUUUUUUUUUUAGAUUUUCCCGUCGACUUAGACCCUCAAGAACCCCGUCGAAAGAGAUUUGUCGUCGGGACAAGUCGACUUACCUAAUUUGACUGCUACUCAAAACCCCAAAAACAAAGAAAACAUAAUACAAUCAAGAAAAACAAAGAAAACAUAAAAUAGUAAAGUUCUUACAUAUAUACACAUACAUUGAAGUAUCCCUCACCCCACACUUAAAAGGAAGACAUGUCCUCAUGGCAUACAAAAUAAAGAACAAUGAGGUAAGGGAACUUCCCUGAUUGAUCAAUCUUGAUUGGAGACCGUCUCCGGGUUCAUAUGACAUGCACGACCUAGAGCUCGCAGCCAACCCAAUAUUUUCUUCUCUGAUUUAACCUGCUGGGCGGCCACCGCAUCAACACGUGUACAUAGGUCAGCGACCGAGGUACGCAACCUUGCCACCUCCCGCUCUAAGGCUGUGAACCGGGUAACCCGACCAACCUUAGAUGGUCCUGCAGCCUCUGCAAUCUGCUCAUGGGCCGGUGACUCGACCCUUACUUCCUCCUUCUCAUCCUCCCCUUCCUCAUAUUCCUCGGAGUCAGAAUUAUCAUCACCACCAAGUGCCACAAGCUCCUUCCCAGUAGUUACCUUAUCAGCUUGGAACUUGGAGUCUCUCAGCACUAUCCCAUCCACAUUCAAAUUUUUCGGCACCCGAGCUGCCCAGCAAAGCCUAGUGACUAGGGGAGGGAAGAAGAAAACAUACCUCUUCCCCAAGCAACAUCUAAACAUCUCCUUGUGAAUAAGCUUGGCCAUGUCAAGGUUGUGACCAUUUAUAAAGCACCAAAUUAAAGCAGCUCAAGGAGCAUUCACUUCUGUAGUAUUGGAAGACGGGAUUAGGCGGUUGUUGAUGACAUACAACCAGCACUUCCCUUCAAAGGUGAGUGCCGCAGAAUGAAACUUCUUCCCAUAUUUCAUCCAUACAAUUUCUUUGUCGGGUACACAAAUGGUUUUAAAGAACCGCUCCUACUGGUGUAUCUUCUACCAUAUAGUUCAUAAUAGUUGUCCAACUCCUCCAUAGGUCUGGGCAGCUGGUAUAUCCUCAUAAUAGCCACAACAAAGGCAUCCACAGCCUUCUUGCGCAGUGUUACUACACCAUUUACAUGUUCUUUUACGUUGGCAUAGAAUUUACGUACAAUCAUCAAAUUCCCCUCGUCCGGCUCUUCAAAGAAGAUUUGUAGCCCACGCUUGACCAGCUCAUUAUACAAGUUGGGGCAGCCAAGCUGGAACGACCCUAUAUCUAUUCCCCUCUCUGGUAUUGGUUUCUUAGGAGCCUUAUCAACAAAAUGGUCCUGAGCCUUGGUGGAGAUGAACCUGUUACUAUCAAAAGGACGAGUAGGAGCUGACUUGCGCGCUCUGGAAGAUCCAGCUUGACCGCUGGAUGAAGCGCCGAUGGUUCGGCAUUUCCUGGAGGGUGCCAUAGUACCUUGAAGAAGAAUAGAAUUAACACAGCACAAAAGGUGCGACUCAACUGCGGUUACUCAGACAUCACCCGCACAAUUGGGCACAAUUAUCAUUUACACUCAAUGUGGAAUUUAAACAAAUACUUUGUGGGUAUCAUAUACCGGAACCCCCAAUUAAAUAUGUUGUAACCCAAUUACUACCACAAUUUCCCCAAAUUCACCCAACUAAGUUAAGAGAUACAACUCCACAAACAUCACCACCCACAAGCACUACACAUACACUACAAAUUAUUUCUAAAAAAAAGAGAAGAAAAACUACUACAUAAUUAAGAAGUCAAACAAAAUUCUACAAAAAUUGGAAAAACGAAAACCUUACCUGCAGUGAGAGAAGAUUGUGAGAAGUGAAGAAGAGUAGUGGAAGGGGGAUUGGCUUGAACUUUGGGAAUUGGGGCUGGGAUUAUUUGGGAAUGGAGAAGAGGGAAAUUAAGAGAAGAUGGGAAUUAGGGUUGGGGUUCUUAGGCGUUGGGUGUUGAUAGGAGAAAAGGGGAAUAGUUAGGGGGUAGGGAUAAACAAACUAAACCAAUUAACAUACAAAAUAAGAAAAUAAAAAAAAUGUUAAGUUAGGUAGAACGGUACUAGCGCGAUCGUAGCGCGGUCCGAGCGCAGCCGCGUUAGUUAGACAGAAUGUUUGGCCAUAUGCGCGGCCACUAGCGCGGGCGCGCUCCUAGGCUUCAAAAAUUUUCCACUUUUUUACCUUUUCCUUCAGCGUCUGAUGGACUUAUCACUUGCCAAGCUCACCUGCACUCGUUAGUAUUUAUCAAAAUCAAAAAUAAUAAAUACUAACUAUACUAAAGUCACUACGCAUUAGGUUGCCUCCUAACCAGUGUCUUAGUUAAUGUCGUGGCACGACAGUUACAACAAGUCAAUGGGUUGCCUCCUAUGCAGCACCUGAUUUAACGUCGCGGCACAACGCAGAUGAGCGAUUUAAGGCUCGCUCGACCUCUGAGGUUCAGUCAGAUGGAUCACUGACACUUCCUUGGUUUCAUCUAUGCACACAUAUGGUUUCAAUCUUUGCCCAUUGACUCUAAAUGUAUGGGAAUCUUUCUCUGAGGCAAUCUCUAUGGCACAUGAAGGGAGCACUUCGACCACCCAAAAUGGUCCAGACCAUCGUGACUUGAGUUUACCCAGAAAUAACCUUAGUCGUGAGUUAUAAAGCAACACCAUGUCUCCGAGAUUGAAAUUUCGCUCAACAAUGUUCUUGUCGUGCAACCUCUUCAUUCUCUCCUUGUAUAACCUCGUGCUCUCGAAAGUAAGAAAUCAGAACUCGUCUAGCUCAUGCAAUUCUGUGACUGUAUUUGUUCCCGCAGCCUCAAUGUCCAGAUUUAGUCGUUUCAUUGCUUACCAAGCUCUAUGUUAUAGUUCCACUGGCAAGUGACAUGCCUUCCCGAACACCAACUUAUAUAGUGACAUACUACUUGGUGUUUUGAAAGCGGUUUUGUAGGCCCAGAGUGCAUCAUCUAGAUUUUUCACCCAAUCAACUCUUGUGGUGUUCACAGUCUUGGUCAGCACACUCUUUAUCUCUCUAUUCGACACUUUGACAUGUCCACUAGUCUAAGGAUGAUAUGGGGUUGCCACCUUGUGGCGCACAUCAUACUUUGCUAGCAAUUUCUCGAAGGCUCGAUUGCAAAAAUAAGUGCCUCCGUCACCGAUAAUAGCUCUCGGGGUCCCAAAACGGGUGAAUAUAUUCUUCUUCAAAAACCCUACCACCAUUUGGAUCAUUGGUGGGGAGUGAUGUAGUUUCCACCUAUUUGGACACGUAAUCUACAGCAACAAGUAUGUACUUAUUGCCAAAGGAGCCGACGAAGGGGACCAUGAAGUCUAUCCCCAUACAUCGAACACUUCAACCUCUUGAAUUGGGUUCAUGGGCAUCUUAUGGCGAUGGGAGAUGUUCCCGGUUCGCUGACAUUUAUCACAGCGCUUCACCCAUUGAUAUGCAUCCUUAAACACUGUUAGCCAGUAGAACCCAGCUUCUAGAACUUUUGUUGUCGUCCUGACUCCUCCAAAAUGUCCGCCAUAUGUCGAUGCGUGACAUGCCUACAAAACAGAAGAUUGUUCUAUCUCGGGGACACACCUCCGGAUCAUAUUGUCAACACAAAUUUUAAAUAGAUAAGGUUCAUCCCAGUAAUACAUGUGGCAGUCGUGGUAAAACUUUUUCUUUUGCAUGGAGGAAAGGUCAUAGGGAACUAUACCGCUUGCCAGGUAAUUUGUAAAGUCUGCAUACCAUGACACUUACUCAAGGCUUGUGGCGAGUAGCUGCUUGUCUAGAAAGGUUUCCAGAAUAUCCUCUGCCUCAACUGAAUUUUCAGCUCCUUCAAGUCGCGAUAGAUGAUCAGUGACCUGGUUUUUUGUGCCCUUACAGUCACGAAUCUCCAAGUCGAACUCUUGCAGUAACAGCACCCAACGAAUCAGGCACGGUUUGGACUCCUUCUUUUCAAUCAAGUACCUAAGAGCAGCAUGAUCAGUAAAUACAAUUACCUUAGAGCCAAUCAGGUAUGAUCUGAACUUGUCGAAUGCGAACACCAUGGCCAGCAUCUCCUUUUUAGUCACAACGUAGUUCAACUGGGCUACACUCAAUGUUCUACUAGCAUAGUAAAUUGGGUGCAUUAUCUUGUCUUUCCGCUAUCCUAGCACUUCCCUCACUGCAUAGUUACUGGAGUCACACAUGAUUUCGAAUGGUUUCUCCCAGUCGAGGGCAACAAUGAUGGGUGGUGUGACUAGCCUCUUUUUCAACUCCUCGAAUGCUACCCUUCAGAAACAUGAAAGAGUGAUUUUUUUCUAACAACUUACAGAGAGGGUUGGAAAUUUUUGAGAAGUCUUUGAUGAAUCUCCGGUAAAAACCGGCAUGCCCGAAGAAGCNNNNNNNNNNNNNNNNNNNNNNNNNNNNNNNNNNNNNNNNNNNNNNNNNNNNNNNNNNNNNNNNNNNNNNNNNNNNNNNNNNNNNNNNNNNNNNNNNNNNNNNNNNNNNNNNNNNNNNNNNNNNNNNNNNNNNNNNNNNNNNNNNNNNNNNNNNNNNNNNNNNNNNNNNNNNNNNNNNNNNNNNNNNNNNNNNNNNNNNNNNNNNNNNNNNNNNNNNNNNNNNNNNNNNNNNNNNNNNNNNNNNNNNNNNNNNNNNNNNNNNNNNNNNNNNNNNNNNNNNNNNNNNNNNNNNNNNNNNNNNNNNNNNNNNNNNNNNNNNNNNNNNNNNNNNNNNNNNNNNNNNNNNNNNNNNNNNNNNNNNNNNNNNNNNNNNNNNNNNNNNNNNNNNNNNNNNNNNNNNNNNNNNNNNNNNNNNNNNNNNNNNNNNNNNNNNNNNNNNNNNNNNNNNNNNNNNNNNNNNNNNNNNNNAAAGAGUGAUUUUUUUCCUAACAACUUACAGAGAGGGUUGGAAAUUUUUGAGAAGUCUUUGAUGAAUCUCCGGUAAAAACCGGCAUGCCCGAAGAAGCUCCUGAUUGCCUUGACUGAUGUAGGGGGAGGCAGCUUUGCUAUCACAUCAACUUUAGCACGAUCCACCUUGAUUCCCUUGCUUGAUACCCGAUGUCCCAAGACUAUAUCCUCUUGUACCAUGAAAUGAGACUUUUCCCAAUUAAGUACAAGGUUAGUCUCGAUACAUCUUUUCAAUACUCGAGUCAGGUUUGUAAGGCACUCAUCCAAUGAAUUUCCUACCACUGAAAAAUCGUCCAUGAACAUCUUCAUUAUGUCUUCGACCAUGUCGGUAAAUAUGGCCAUCAUGCACCUUUGGAAUGUGAAGGGUGCAUUGCAUAGGCCAAAAGGCAUCCUCCGGAAGGCAUAAAUCCCAUAUGGACAUGUGAAUGAGGUCUUCUCUCUGCCCUCUGGUGCAAUGGAGAUUUGGUUGUACCCUGAGUACCCCUCCAGAAAAUAGAAGUGGGACCUCCCUGCCAGUCUGUCAAGCAUCUGAUCAAUGAAGGGAAAUGGGAAGUGGCCUUUCUGGAUGGCUAGAUUUAAUUUCCUAUGGUCCAUACAAAUUCUCUAGCCUGUGACGGUUCCUGUAGAGAUCAGCUCAUUGUUAUCAUUUUUUACCACCGUCAUACCACCCUUCUUUCGAACACAUUGCACCGAGCUAACCCAAUUGUUGUCAGAGAUGGAGAAAAUGAUUCCCGCAUCCAACCACUUAAUGACCUCCUUCUUCAUCACUUCCUUCAUGUUGGGGUUCAGCCUUCUUUGGUGCUCCCCUAGAAGGUUUAUGCCCCUCUUCCAACAGAAUUUUAUGCAUACAGUAUAACGGACGGAUCACCUUAAUGUCUGCCAUGGUCCACCCGAUGGCAGUCUUGCACUUCGCGAGUACCUUCAAAAGUUGUUGUGCCUGCACAUCUAACAAACUAGAUGAGAUAAUAACAAGUAAUAUGGAGUUAGGUCCUAGGAACACAUACCUGAGAUGGGCGGGUAGUGGCUUCAACUCCAGCUUUGGUGGUUCUUCUAUGGAUGGUUUGGCUGGAGGAAUUUAUCUAUUUUUUAAGUGUAGGGGCUCGAAUUCAAGUGUUCUCUCCCAAAACCCUCUGCCCUCUAGAGCCAGCACCCAUUCCUCCAAUUCUUCUCCAUUCACCUCAUCUAAAUUCACAAGACAUGCAGCAAGAGGAUCCUUAAUAGUCAGUGUCUCAUCAUCCUCUUCCACGAUUACGCCAUGGCAUCAAUAAGAGAACAAUUGGCGAAUUCACUUGGUCGCCUCAUAGAUUUCUACACGUUAAAUGUUAUCUCCUCAUCAUUCAACCUCAUUUUGAGCUCCCCAGUUUCACAAUCAAUAAGGGAUCACCCUGUGGCCAAGAACGGCCUUCCCAAAAUUAUGGGAAUUUCUUCAUCCACUCUACAAUCUAGAAUCACAAAAUGUGCAGGGAACACAAAUUUCCCUACCUGUACUAACACGUCAUCCAAAAUACCUGAGGGUCUUUUCACAGUUUUGUCAGCCAGCUGCAACAACAUAGACGUGGGGAAUGGACUCAUUGAGCCGGAUAAGGAGCGGAUUGGGAAUCCCAGUAUAUGCCGAUGAGUGUACAACAAAAGUAGAAAGGAUAUCCUAUGCUAGAAUUCUUGUGGAAAUGGACAUCACAAAACCAUUGCCAAUAAGAAUUCUAGUUAAGGAUCCGAGCAGUAGGCAAUUUGAACAACCAGUUACUUAUGACUGGAAGUACUAUAACAAUUGCUUGCAUCUAGGACAUAAUUGUCGAGUCAAACAAACACAACAACAAAUAAAUAAGCAGUAAAAACAGAAGCAUGAAUGGAAACCAAAUGAGCAGGGGAAUCAAUGCCUUACAAAAGAUGAGAAUCAAACAUCAGCUGUGAAUGCAGAACCAAUAAACAAAAAGCACAAUACGCAGGAAACAACAACUGAGGAGGAUGAAGGGUGGCAAGCAGCAAAGGGGAAAUCAGCCACAAAAAACACUCAAAUAACAUCAACAAGAGGGGUUGAAGUGGGUAAUGGAUUUAAUGUUCUUAAUAACUCAUGCUCUACUACACAGAGUAAUAUGAUAAACAGGGUUGAUAGAGGACAAUAGGGUAGGUAUGAAGGAAGGAAUACCAUACAAUAUAUCUAAAUGAAGCUAGUCAGUUGGAAUGUUAGAGGGCUAAAUAAAGUGUAUAAGCAAAAGGAGAUGCAGAGGUAUAUUAAAGUACAAGAAAAGUUUUCACAAAAAAUCAUACAAAAAAUAGCUCCUACAUGGUAAUAGUGUGCAAACUAUGAUGGUGGAGGGAAGGGUAGAGUAUGGGUUAUCUGGGAUCCAAAUGAAAUCGGAUUCACUGUGAAGGAAGCAAAAACUCAUUACAUUCAUGGAGAAGUAGUUCAGCUGGAUACAAAAUUAGAAUUUACAUUUACAGCCAUCUAUGGCUGCAUACAAUAGAGGCAAGGAAAAGUUUAUGGAGGGACUUAAUAAACUGGAGCCAAUAUCAGACAAAGCCUUGGCUAUGCAUGAGUGACUACAAUACUAUUUUGGCAGUGGAAGAUAGAAUAAAUGGUAGCUCAGUACAAGAAAAUAAAAUUAAAGACUUCAAAGAAUUCCUAAUAAAUACAGGAAUGUGUGAGAUGAGAACAGUGGGAAAGGACUAUACAUGGACUAAUUCACAUGUGUUCAGUAGAAUAGACAGGACAAUAGUAAAUGCAGAAUGGGUAAUUAACAUGCCACAAGUAGAUGCUGUGAUUAUGGAUCCUCUCUUCUCGGAUCAUUCCCCUUUAUGUGUUAAGCUUGGAGAAGAACCAAAGGCCUCAAAGCCAUUUAGAUUCUUUAGCUGUCUGGUUGAGCACAAGGAUUUCCUUCCAAUAGUGACAGAAGCAUGGAAUAAAUCAUCACAACCAAGGAAUAUGGCAGGAGUCUGGAGGAAAUUGAAAGAUGUUAGAAGAGAAUUAAAAGGGCUGAAUACAAAUGAAUUCCAAGUAGUAGAUUUGAGGGUCAAAAAUGCUAGACAAAAGCUACAGAAAGUUCAGUAACAGAUGAGAACUACAAGCAUAUCAUUACAGAAGUUUGAAGAAGAGAAAGAACUGAAACAACAACUAGAGAAAUGGGCUACCAUAGAAGAAAGCAUCUAUAAACAGAAAUCUAGAAAUCAGUGGCUGAAGUUAGGAGAUUCUAAUACUGCUUUCUUCUUUGCCAGCAUAAAGAACAGGAUAAGCCAUAAUAAGAUCAGGAGCUUGAAGACUAAUGAUGGAGAAAUAAUUCAGUCUAAGAGUGCGAUAGAAAAAGAAAUUGUGGAAUUCUAUAAAUGGUUAUUAGGAUCUGCAGCUGAUACCAUACCAACCAUACAACCAACCAUUAUGAAGAAGGGCAAUGUACUAGAUAGGAGGCAACAAUUGAAGCUAAUAGAACCUGUUACUAUAGAGGAAAUUCAAAAUGCUCUAAAAGGGAUAAAUGAUCAAAAGGCUCCAGGAUGUGAUGGAUUCAAUUCAAAGUUUUUUAAGAAGACAUGGAGUAUCACAAGUCAAGACAUAUCUAAGGCAGUGCUUUAGUUCUUCGAUACAGCUGAAAUGCAUCUGCCCAUUAAUGUAACAACUGUUACACUGAUACCUAAGGUUCAGCAUCCUUCAACAAUCAAAGAGUUCCGGCCUAUUUCUUGCUGCACGGUGUUAUACAAGAUUAUUUCAAAAAAUUUGACUAGCAGAUUGCAAGGGGUGAUGGAUCAUUUAGUAGAUAAAAGCUAAUCUGGCUUUGUUCCAAGAAGAGUUACCACAGACAACAUAAUUCUAAGCCAUGAACUAGUCAAAGGGUACAGGAGGAAGGGCAUCUCACCUAGAUGUGUCAUGAAAAUAGACAUGCAGAAAACCUAUGACUCCAUUGAGUGGGAAUUCUUAGAACAAGUGUUGAAUAAUUUGAACAUCCCAGAGAAGUUUGUUAGAUGGAUAAUGGUAUAUGUAAAGACAAUAUCCUACUUUAUACUCAUUAAUGGGAAACCUAAGGAACCAUUCAAAGCUAGAAGAGGAUUGAGACAGGGUGAUCCACUAUCACCAUUUCUUUUUGUGCUUGGUAUGGAGUACCUUACAAGGAGUUUCAAAACUUUGAAGUAUAAGCCAGAUUUCAACUUCCAUCCUAGAUAUGAUAAACUAAAUAUCAUUCAACUGGGUUUGCAGAUGACCUGUUAUUGUUCUGUAGAGGAGAUACUAUUUCUAUCCAAAUGGUAUUCAACUGUUUCAUGGAAUUCUCUAAGGCAUCUGGCCUAAAAGCACACAUAACAAAGAGUUCCAUAUACUUUGGGGGAGUUCCACAAGAUAUACAACAGAGCAUAGUACAAGUAACUGGUUUUAGCAGGGGAGAGUUUCCUUUCAAGUACCUUAGAGUUCUACUCAGUACUAAGAGGAUUACUAUGAUACAAUGCCAGCCACUCCUGGAGAGAAUAUUAGGAAGAAUUACCUCCUGGACUUCAAAGUAUCUAUCUUAUGCAGGAAGGUUGCAAUUGAUCAAAACAGUGUUGUUCUCCAUCCAAAUAUACUGGUCCCAGAUAUUUGUAAUUCCUAAGAAGAUGAAGAAGAAGAAGAUAGAAGCAGUUUGUAGAACAUUUCUAUGGACAGGUGGAACAAAUGCUUCAAAAAAAGCUUUGCUAUCAUGGGACAAAGUAUGCUCUCCAAAGACUGCUGGUGGAUAUAAUGUAAUGGAUGUGCUUACAUGGAAUAAAGCUGCAAUUUGCAAAUUACUAUGGAAUCUGUGUAGAAGAAAGACAAAUUGUGGGUUCAGUGGAUUCAUUUGUAUUAUGGGAAGAAACAAGAAGUGUGGGAAACCAAUCCAAGCAAUGCAUCAUGGAUAGUUCAGAAAAUCAUUAAGGCAAAAAUAUAUGUAGAGGCAGCAGGGAUUGAUAUGAAAGAACUGGCAGAAUGGAACUACUUCUCUAUCAAGAAGUGGUACAAAGGCAUGCGAGGACAGUAUCAUAGAGGAAAUUAACGUGCAACAAUUUAGGGGCUCCAAAAUGGAUUGUUGUGCUGAAUCUAGCUCUGCAAAAUAGACUCCUUACAAGAAGUAGACUCCAUGCGUGGGGAAUUACAAAUGAAGUAAGUUGCCCCAUAUGUACUGAUGAAGAUGAGACCAUAGAUUAUUUAAUGUUUAAAUGUAGAGUUACUGGAAGUAUAUGGAGCAAGUUGCUGCUGUCACACCUCCUUUUUACUACACCCCCGUAAGGGUAUAAGGGAGUUUUUUCCAAUUUAAGUGACAAUCAAAAUGGGAUUUAUUUAUUUAUUUAAGUUCAGAGUCACCACUUGGGAUAACUUAUGGUGUCCCAAGUCACCGGUUCAAAUCCCGAAUCGAGGAAAAGAUUGACUCUGUAUUACAGUCCGCAAACACAGAAAUUCAGGUAAGGAAUUCUAUUAACCCGGGAGAAGGUGUUAGGCAUUCCCGAGUUCCAUGGUUUUAGCACGGUCGCUCAACUGUUAUUAUNNNNNNNNNNNNNNNNNNNNNNNNNUUAACCGCUUUAUUUAAUUAAUUUUAGGAAAAAUUCAAUGUCAUCUAAACACGUCUUGAACCACGUCACAUAAAUGCACCCGCGGUUCAUGACACAUUUUAUCUAACGUUGCUGAGAUUUGGAUUUGGGUCACAUAAAUGCGCACCCGAGUUUAAGGAAAUUAAUUUAAAUUAUGCGCCUAAAGCAACUACAAGGUUCAUUAUUCUUCAAUUCCUAAGUUCGAGAUUGUUGUGAGGCCAUAGAUUAUAGAUAACUAAAUGAGUGCACCAUAAUGUACGAACUAAUGGCUCAUCUAAGCCAUUAAAUAAUCACAGAGAACCAAAGGCUUAAAACUAUAAAAUCACUCUACGUCUCCAAAUCUUUCAAUCGCUGAUUCCUAUAUUUGCGCAUUAGAAUUAAAAGCUCACUAUUACUAUGACGAAAACUAUCCACAUGAACACUACAACAGUUACAUCAGACAUAUGACUCAAUUGAAUCAACUUAAGAUUAAUAAAAGUGUAUCUAAUCAUUUUAGCAAAGGCAUGAAGUAAGUAAAACAGAGAGAGUAAUCUCAAAGAAACAGACAAACAUAUUAAGAUGACGGACUGAAAGAAAACCAAUACAGAGUAGCAAAAAUGAAUCCAGAUCUUUCACCAAACUAGUAAAAUAAAUAUGAGAUAAAAUAAACACAAGGAAAAAAACCUGUAGUAUUGCAAAGCAAAGUACUUAUUUGAUAUAAUAAUAACAGCCAUCCUCCAACUUAGAGCAACUCGUCAGAACCAGAACUAAACAUCGUCAACCUCUUUAACAGAAUCUCGGACGACAACCACCUCAACGACGGCUUGGAUUUUCGAAAGACCUUGGGGUUGUUUCAUGGUGUUAAAGUGUGAUUUUGGAGCUGGUUUCAGGGAAAGAUUUGAGGGUGUUUCUGAAGCUGUUCGUAUCUGCUUUGUUGUUGCACCUUUGGAUGGGUUUUGGGUGGUUCACUGGGCUGGUUUUCAGCUGAGUUUCAGGGGUUUACAAGGUUAAGUUUUGGGCGAAGUUUGGAGUGUUUAACGGAGACUUUGUAGUGUUUUGAUGGCUGGUUUCAUGGCGAAAACGUGAGGGAGUAGGAGACUAAGGUGGAGGGAGUUAUGAAUCGUGAUGUUAGCGUGCUGUUGCUGUUCGUUUUCCGGCGAGAUCGACGGUUGAAGAAGAAGAACGAUGGGGGUCGUUCUUAGUUUUGGCUGUUGUCGAUCUCUCUUUUUGGUUGCUCUCUCAUGGCUGCUACUUUUCUUGUAGAAGAAGAUGAUGCUUGGGGGGUAUCGGCGCAACUUUUCUUUUUU
RNAcentral lists this long non-coding RNA (13879 nucleotides) under Nicotiana tabacum (common tobacco). RNAcentral's name for it is "long non-coding RNA (NTAB_LNC006326)". The record is from RNAcentral. Lineage: Eukaryota; Viridiplantae; Streptophyta; Magnoliopsida; Solanales; Solanaceae.